Molecule: long non-coding RNA, 22850 nt
Filed under: Ananas comosus (pineapple)
Lineage: Eukaryota; Viridiplantae; Streptophyta; Magnoliopsida; Poales; Bromeliaceae
Description: long non-coding RNA (ACOM_LNC016715)
Source: RNAcentral
GUAUUUGAGACAGAUCAUUGCUUGCUUGCCAUUGUGCUCAUUCGCACAUGCUUGUGAGGGUCGCUCCCUACAAGUCGGCACUCCGGAGAUAGCCAUCGCGACAUAUGCUCGCCCGUGCGGGAUUGGGCGCCGAAAUGGGAUGCCGUGGGGGAGGCUCAUUCCUAGAGUGGGGAUGUUGACUACCACGGAGCCAUUAGGCACGGCGCAGGUCAGAUAGCCUUCGGGUGGGUCUUAUAUGAUUGGAACUUAGUGACGUGCUAUGUAAACUUUAAAACUAUUAAAGUGACAAGUGGACUUGGACUAGAAUGGUAAACAAUGACAUUUUACUAUUUAGCUUGUGGACAUCAUGAUAGUAGUAGGCUUAUACUUCAUAUACAGUUGCUUUUAUACUUAUACUACUCAUGCUAAGUAGAGAUAUCAUGUCGUAGUAAGUUAUAUUUUUACUUACAUUUCGCCUUAUUGCCUUUAUUGUUACUUACCCUUUUCUUUUCAAUUUUUGGGCCUAGUGGUGCAUUCACUGAAGUCAGUAAUCGCCCACUGGGAACUAUUAUUUAAUAGUUCUCACGCCCUCUGUUUGAUGUCUCUUUUUCAGAGCCCUCUGCACCGGCGGAGGCACGGGAUCGUGGCAAGGGGAUCGCUAGCUAGAUAGCGAGGACUUAUUUGCUUUCACCUAGGUGGUUUUCCUCUCUUUUUAUGUUGUGAGAUUGAGAGGUUUUGUAUCCACGUAUAGAGACCACCCAUGUAUUUACUUCUAGCACUUGUAUUUGGGUUUUCUCUUUGUAUUACUUUAUGUUUUUAUUUAGUGGUCUAUCGCUUAUGUUCUUUCCUGCAUUGUAGAACUUAGUCAUUUAUUAUGCUCUGAUACUCCUAAAUGUCUUUUAUUAUUGCUUUAUUUAUUGUUUUGUUUUAGACACCUUAUAUGUUUUAGACGUAUGCCCGGUCUGUGCACGUGCCGGGCGGGCUUCCGCUGAGGCCCGGGGCGUGACACACUUAUAGCCGUAGAAAACAUGCCAAAGUAGAAACAUCAAUUCUUUCACUUAAUGACAUAGUCAAAAGUCAGUAAGGGCAUCUAACAUAUAUAGGACGUCGUCUCAAAAUAAUGUCCAUACGAACUCACACGAUGAGGAAGUCAGGUCCAUCGCCCAUCUUCUUUAUUUGGUCGCCUAGCACAUGUAGUAUGAAAUACAUGCUAUAACAGAGAAUCUUAAUGAGCGUAUGUCUUUCUCAAUGUCAUAUAGAUCUUAUGUAAUGUACCGGAUUUUAAUAUAAAAGUAAAUAUAAAUAAAAAUAGUGUGAGAUACUAUUUUUAUUGGACUUGAAGAAGUAAAGUAUAAGUCGGAAAUGACUUAUGCUGAAAUCUGAAUAGAAAUAGAAGAUUUAUAAUUUUCUGUGAGAAACGGGACUGAUCUUUUAGCAGAAAAUUCACAGUGUCAGAAAAUUAUGAAAAUCUGGGAAUAUGUCGGGAUUAUUUUUAUGAGGCUAGAUUUAAAGUUUCAUGUGAUUCCAACACCCGGAAAGUGGAAAAUAAAAUCUAACUGCUAUCUGCUAGAGAUUUCAGUUCGGUAGAACUUUCGGGGACCAAAAAUGGUCGAAACUGAGAAGUUAAGAUAUCUUUCUUGUUGUUAAGUUAAACCGAGCCUGACUAUCAAAUUUGAGCGCAAACGGACAUUAAGAAGAGCUCCGGCGAAAAGUAUCGGAUUCUGAAAACUAAACUGAAAGUUGUAAUAGUGUUAUGUGGAAAGUGUUGGGUGCAAUUGUGCACAUAUGAGGAGUAUACGAAUGGGGCCCACUUGCAUCCCUCUCAUUUCCCCUCACAUUUGCAGCCCUAAGAGAAAGGUCUCUCUCUCUCUAAGCUCUCUUUCUCUCUCUUGAAGGUGGGAAGCAAGAGAAAGGGUUGGUGGAGAAGAAAGCUUGGAAGUGGGUUUUCAUGUUCUUCAUCUUCCUCCUCACCAUUGGAGCAAGCUUUUGAGGUAAGCUUAUUGCCCUUUAAUGGUUGAUCUCUAAGGUGUGAAUCAUAUGCUCUAGAAUUGAUUUUAGUGGACCCUUAAGUGCUAAAUAGAUGAUUAUUGCUUGAAUCACAAGAUUGUAUGAUGAAUUCUUGCAAUAGUUGUAUACUAGGGUUCCGAUGGGGGUUUUUCAAAAUGUUAGGGUUUGAUCUAAAUUGAACCUAUAUAAACCUAAUUGCUAGGUGUUCUGACGCGUUGGUGGCCUCGGUUCGGCAAUCCGACGAGGCUACGCGAAAAUAUUGAGGAAAAGGACCGUUUUGACUUCGUUUCCGCCUGGAAGGCCGAGACGGCGUCCAAAAAUAGCGAAACCGGAUUUCUAGUGUCACGGCAUCAUCAAGAGGUAGGUGGUGUCAUCCCGAAGCAGUUGGACUUCCCUCUAUAUCCAAGUUACAUUAUUGAUUAUAUUUUCACAUGUUGGCGUUAUGCAUGAUAGGAUGUUUGGAUAGUUGCAUUUCCACUCUUUGCAUGCUUCUUGGUAGUGUAGGAUUGUGGGCUUGACACGUGAACUUAGGAUGCAUGAGAAUAUGCAUGAUCAUAUUUCUCUUUAUUUCCGUUACUUCCUCUGACAAUUUUUUUUAUAUCCGUUCCUUUCUCUAACAAUUUCUCUCUAUUCAUUUAGGAACACCACUGACAAAUCUAUAUUUUGAAGCAUGGAUAUAAAAGAAGAUUCCGAUAAGCCGUUGAUACAAAAGAAGGCUUUUGUAACCCCCUUUACAUUCGAGAUGAGACACAUAGGAGGAGACGCGGCUCGUAAAAGCUCCAGGGACACCAAAUGAAAAGACGAUCCAAGCAAGCAUGUAAAACAAUCAAUUCGGUCUAGUUCCUGAAUACGUUGGCUAGAAUAACCUGUUAAAAAAAGAGAAUUACUAUUCUUGCCUUUUAUUUUCUCCUUUAGACAAUAGUUUUUUUAUUAAAUUAUGACAAUAGAAUUUUACAUAUUUAUCUUUCUGACUGAUUGAGCUCUUAAUUCUACAUUAAUUUAUCAUAAUGAUAAAAUAUCGCUAAUUAAUUAUUUAAUAACUAUUAGCCACCUGACUUAUCAAAUGAAUAAAUAUUUAAUUAACUACUUUAUAAUUAGUUUAUUAAUUUAUAAUCAAUUAACUAAUUUAAUAUACUUAUUCAACUAAUAACAAACAUUUAUCUUAAUUAAGGAAUUAACGUUUUAACUUAUCUAAUUAAUCUAUUAACUUAAUAUAUUACUUAUUAAAUAAAUAAUCAAUUAAUUAAUUAGCUAAUGGAUUAGUUUAUUUUUAUAAUUAAUUCCUAAUGAAUUAAUUAAAAAUUAUAAUUUUUAUUUUAUUAAUUUAAUAAAAUAUUAUUGUUUUACAAGUAUAAUUAUUAUAUAAAUCCUACUAUUGAAAACAGUGGGCUGGUGAAUGAUUCGACUAUUUUAAUAGUACUCCACGCGCACAACCUAGGGAAGAUACUAAAAUAAUUUUUAUUUACUUACUUGGUCAAGCUCGAUUAAUACAGAACAAACCUCGGAAACACUCGAACAAGGAUAAUCAACACCCGACUAAUACAGAACAAACCUUGGAAAAACGAACAAGGAUAAUCAACACCGACACUCACUCGAAGGAAAUUAACAUCACACAUACUACACUGACCAACAUACUUUUAUUCUUAACGGAUUUAUCUCCAUUUUCUUUCAAAUUCAAACCACUAUCGUUAUAGGGUGAAGCUCCACUGAUGGCAAUGUACUCAAUUACCGGAGAUCUCAAUAGCCUUGACCUCAGGCUUCUUGACCUCGGUCUUUGGCACAGUGACGGUGAGCACCCCAUUCUCCAUGGUGGCCUUCACCUCGUCCAGCUUGGCAUUCUCCGGCAGGCGGAACCUGCGUAGGAACUUGCCGCUGCUGCGCUCCACGCGGUGCCACUUGUCGGUCUUCUCCUCCUUCUCCUUGCUGCGCUCGCCGCUGAUCUGGAGGAUGCCGCCUUCCUCCACUUCCACCUUCACCUCCUCCCUCUUCACCCCCGGCAGGUCCGCCUUAAACACGUGCGCCUCGGGCGUCUCCUUCCAGUCCACGCGCGUGUUGGCGAAGGCGGAGGUGUCGCUCACGAAGCUGCUGGGACGGGACUCGGUGAGGGCGCGGAAGGCGUCGAAGGGGUCCCAGAGGUCGAGGGAGAAGGGGUCGAAGAUGUUGCUGCGCCUCACGAUCGACAUGUCUGAGCAGCUGAUUACAGACUUGCUGGUGGUUCCUAUAAGCUACUUGGGCUCUGUUCCGACAGCUGGCGACUCGCUCUCUGUUUCUACUGCGUUUUCUUUGAUGGGCGGACGCUGCUAUUUAUAGAUUUUGUGAGGACUAGUCUACCACUCUCUAGAUCGAGUUUGCUCUAGAUAAUUCGCUUUAUUAUAUUAUGGUGGGCCAUGAGGUCCUCUUCUCGCCCUUUCCGACUCUCUCUAGAAUAUGCCCCAAAAAUGAAGCUUUAUCGGGAGGCAGUGAUCAGCCUGUGUUACUAGUCAGCCUGGUGCUUUCCAGAGAAUUCUCUACUAAACGGGGUGGACAAAUGGUGGCCUCCAGCGAGCGACGGUGGUACCAAUACAUGCAUGUAACUCAUCCGGAAGUUUAUGAAUGAAAUCUCAAAAUUUAAAUUUCAAUUUCCUGUGCAUCGAAGAUCAUUAAUUUAGGAUAUCAUUUCCUCAUGAAUUGAACUAUUCCUAUUUUUAUACUGAUGUUGAUGAUGAUGAUGAUGUUAGGGGUAUAUAUAAUUGGUUCGGUUUGGUCCUGUUGGGAUUCGGUUAAAUUGAAUUGCAUGCGCCUAUAAUCAGACUCGAUUCAACGGUUAUUAUAUUGUCAAAUUGGACUAAAUUUAAUCUUGCUUUUAAAUUAGAAAGCUAAUUAGAGAUAUAUUCUAAUCAUAUUUGGAUAACACUUAUAAACCGAUUAGGACUAAUCUUUUACUUACCUAUUUGGGUUUCAUGAUCCCUUAUGAAUAUGCGAGCUAUUCUCUUAUAGAAAUAAGAAGUCCAAUUUGCAUAAAAAAUUCAUUAGUUUUGUACUUUUACAAAAGUGGGCCGCAUUUUUUAAAUUUACAUAUUCAGGCCGGAUUUUUAGUAAACUGAUCAAAAUACUCUUAUACCUUUUUCUCUCUCCUUUUUUUUCUCGCGUUCUUUUUUUUUUUUUCGCCGAAGAAGGCGACGGAGGCGAAGGCGACGGAGGCGAAGGCGGAAACGGCCCCCAUCGUCUCUGCACCUCACGCCCUCACCCUUACCCUUGCCCGCGCACCCCUCGCCCUACUUGCCUCCGACACCGCCGAGGCCGCGCUGCGACCUCUUCUUUUUUUUUCUCUCCGACCCUCCUCCACAGCCUCCGCGACCCUCCGCGAUGAUAACGAGGACGAUAAUGCGUCCUCUUCCUCCGCCUUCGCCCUCUACCUCCACUGCAGCGGAUUUUGCACCCACCAAACCCACUUCUAGGAACUUGCGUUCCCACCAUCGCCAUCGACGAAAAACAGAAAGCAUUUCUCAGCUUCGAAAAGCUCACCGGCGAGCGAUGGGGCACGCGGCCCAGCUACCUACCCCAGAGGCCAGCAGCGAGCGUGGCCUCAACGGUGUCGGAGGCGAGAAGGGCGAGAAAUACACGGGAGAAUCUCUAGAUUAGCACUUUUAUUUAUUUAAAACAAAAAAAUAAAAAAUAAAAGGCCAAAAAUAAGAGAAUAAUAAAGAAAACAAGAGAAGAAGGAAGAAGAAGAUGAAUAUACACUAUUAAGAUUAAAUUGCAUUGUUUUAAAAGAUCGUUGCACUAUUAUGAACGUAAGUUGCACUCUUUUAAAUGUAAACUGCACCCUUUAAGAUGAAAGUUACACUCUUUAAACAAAAGUUGCACUAUUUGAGAGAUAUUUACACUGUUUCUCCUCUUGUUGCACGCUUUAAGCAGAGAUAUUUACACUAUUUCUUCUCUUGUUGUACUAUUUCUCCUCUUGUUGCGCUAUUACUUCUCAGUUUACACAUCAACUGUCAUGCCCCAUGACCCGCCUAUUUGGUAGGAUUCGGGUCGUCAAUAGACAGCCGAAUGGACAGAGUUUUUCCUGUACGUUUUAGGCGUCGCAAACAAUACAUUACAAGAGGUUCCAAACAGGAACAGUAUUCAUACAACGAUUGCAUAAGAAAGGUAUCAAACAACAUAAACAACUAAGCUAUUACAAGCAUUCACAUCACAUGCUUUUUACAUAUUACAUUUUCGUUUUCUUUUCUUCCAAAUAUAAUCAAUAUUAUUACAGUAUUGUGUUCUUCUUUUCUACAACCCCUAGCUAGGCCGACUUGGGGUAAUGCUAUCUCUGGUCUCUGUGAUAGAGCGCUAUCUAUGGAGCUACGCUGUCACGCCCCGAGCCCGCCUCUUUGGUCGGUUUCGGCAUGCCAACAGACCGCCGAACGGACAGGAUUUUUCCUGUACCGCGGACAGAGUCUCCCCUGUACGUUCAAGGCGUCGGAAUCAAUACAAUGUACGAAGUUCCAACCAGGAACACAUUUCAACCAAAGAUUGCAUAAGGAAGUAUCAAAAAUAUAAAUCUACUUGCUAUUACAAACAUUCAUCUCACAUAUUACAUUUUACAUUACAAAUUACAUUCUUUUACAUUCAACUUCCAAAUACAACCUAAUUAUUACAAAUUUAUUACAAGUUUGAUACAUCUUGUUCUUUCAUUUUUCUCUACUCCUAGGCUAUGCCGACUCGGGGUACCACUAUCUAGUCUCGGUGGUAGGGCGCUAACUACGGAGCUACGCCCUUGCCUCGCACCACCGCGCCGCUCACGUGCGAAUCUGUAACACCCCAAAACAACGUGGGGUGAGAACCAACUCCAUGGUUCCCAGUGGGUACGGCCACCCAAGAAAAAAGCUCGACCAAUAGGUCCGAGGAGGCAUUACAAUCAUGUUAGUCCAAAAACAUCUACAGAUAUAUAUAUAUAUCAUCAUGUAAUUAUGCAACUAACAGAUAACAUGCCACAUGAAUAUGCAAUAUGCAAAUCAUGCAACUCAUGAAAGUAGAUUUAUUGAUUCUACUCUUUAUUCUUAACCAUUCUUUACUCUUAGCCAAUCUUUAUUGCUAAUCAUUCUUUAUAUUAUUAGCUGUUCUUUAGCGUGUGUGUCACGCCCCGAGCCCGCCUCUUUGGUCAGAUUCGGGCACGCCAACAGACCGCCGAACGGACAGGGUUUCCCCUGUACCGUGGACAGAGUCUCCCCUAUACGUUCAAGGCGUCGCAAUCAAUACAAUGUACGAAGUUCCAACUAGGAACACAUUUCAACCAAAGAUUGCAUAAGGAAGUAUCAAAACAUAAAUCUACUUGCUAUUACAAGCAUUCACAUUCAUACUUUUUUUACAUCACAAUUCUCAUUUGAUCCUUACAUUAGCUUUCACUUAACUUCCAAAUACAAUCCGAUUUUAACAUAGUUAUUACAACAUUGUUCUUACAAUUAUCACAUUUUUGGUUCUUUGCAUUUUAUACCCCUAAGAAGCCGACUCAGGGUGCUGCUAUCUGGUCUCAGUGGUAGGGCGCUAACUACGGAGCUACGCCCUUUCCUCGCGCCGCCGCGCCGCUCGCGUGUGAACCUGUAAAACCCCGAAACAACGUGGGGUGAGAACUAACUCCAUAGUUCCGGAAACUGGACUACCAGCUCGAGAAGGGAACCCACCGGCAUGGGUGAAAGGCAAACAACAUGUUAGUACAAUAGAUAGAUAUGAAAUCAUAAAUCAUGCAACUAACAUUACCAUGCUUUUGCCUCACAACAUGCAAUAUGCAAAUUAUGCAACCCAUAUAGUAGAUUAAUUGCUUCGACACUUUAUUCUUAUCCAUUCUUUACUUUUACUCAUUCUUCACUUUACUAGCUAUUCUUUAGCAUUAACCCUUCUUUAUUCUUUAUUACUUGUCAUUCUUCAGCAUUAGCCUUUUCUUAUUCUUGAUUCUUCAUUCUUUAUCCUUUACGCUUUACUAAGGGUACUCACACCUUAGUAAUAUUAUACACAUUAGCCUUUCUUUCCUAAAGUUACUUUACCUUAGCCAACUUUGCCAUCCGACUCGGUCUUGAGUCAAUCAACUGCGGAUAGUCCGCGCUCUAUCCGGCUCGAGGUGAAGGAACUCUCACAUACACCUCAGCCUUCAAUCACAAACCACAUCGCCCAACGGGUCACCCAGAGCUGCGUACACCCGUGGUCAGGGAUCCCCCGGUGGGAGAGGAACAUGCCGCAUACACCCGCAGCCGAGAUCCCCGAUAGGGAGAGGAAUAUGCCACAUGCACCCUAGCGCUCAUCAUUCUUGCUCAUUAACAAGCCUCGAAGUUCUUCCGGUGGGAGAGGAACACGCCACAUGCACUCGCGGCCAAGAACUAUCGAGCUUGUAUGCUGCACUAGCAGCAGGGAUUCUGGAAUCCACUUUACAUUACUCAAGGGUUGGUCUCACCCUAUGUUAUCGACCUAUCUAGGUCCAAACCUUUACUCAACCUAAAUUAAUACAUUAGGUUCAAUGUCAUUAUCUUCUUAGCCUAGGUUCAUUGACACUAGGUCCAACAUUCUUUAUCACCUAAGUUCAUUUGACUCUAGGUUCUAUAUCAUUACAUUUACAACCUAGGUUUAUUUGACUCUAGGUUCAAUGCCACUCAUAUUCUUGUUUUCCUAGUUGCCCACACCUAGAAAUUAUACUUAACAUGCCACUCGUGAAUAACCUAUGUUCAUCGACACUAGGUUCAUUAUUACUUUUGUUUAACCUAUGUCCUUGACACUAGGUCCAAUGCCACUCGAUCUAUAGGUGCAUUUAUGUCCACUUACACAUAUUCUUUACUUAGCAUUCUUAUCUUAUCAUUAUGCAUUUUCACUAGCAUGCUUUCUACUUUACGUUAACAUGCAAUGCCACUUAUCUCAUGCCUUUAGCUAACAUCAUUCGAUGCAUUUUCUUAGCAUUCUUAUUUAGCAAUUCUUACAUUAUGUCAACAUACAUUCUUUUAGCAUUUCUAUCAUGCGUCCAUUUCUAAAACAUGCAUCUAGCUCAUGUUACUUGAAAUUUAACUCAUACAUUUAUCUAGCAUAUGUCUUACAUACUCCUUUAGCGUUUAGCUCUUACAUUCAUUAGCAUACUUUACAUACAUUUACUUAGCAUCCAGCUCAUGUCGUCAUAUGCAUUUAUUAGCAUCAUUAUGGUACAUUCUUAAUUGGCAUUCUUAUUAUGCAUUCUUACUUAACAUUCUUAUCAUGCAUCAAUAGUGAAACACACUACACUUUGGCAUGAAGGCGACCUAGUCGCUUCGGUAAACACAACCCACCUUUUAACGCUUUCCGAUUGCUUGUCGUCACUUGCAAUCGGCCUCCCGCGGCACCCGUGACCCGGUUUGGCCCAAACUCUUGCGCGACCACCCGAACGGCCACCAAUCCGCGAUCCGUCUGUUCGGGAGUUUAUUCCCCGACACCACGAUGCUCCCGAUCCAUUUUCAUGAUUUUUGGAGGCUUAUCCCGCGUGCUGCGGCUAUCUGUACCAAAACAGAUUGUUUCGUCAAUAACUUCGCGUACACUCGUCGGAUUGUCGAACCGAGCGCACCAACGCGUUCGUUAUACCCCCAAUUAGGUUUGUAUAGGGUCAAUUGAGAUCAAACUCAACUAUUUACAAAAACCCCUUUUUGGAGCCCUAAAUGCAAUUAUAGCAAAAUGCCCCAUUUCAUCUCAUGAAUCAAGCAUAAACCAUCUAUUUAGCAUGCUAAGAUUCCAUUAAAAUCAUCUUUAGAGUAUAAGAACUUAACCCUAAAGAUCUACCAUUAAAGCUCCAAGAAGCUUACCUCAAGAAGCUUGCUCCAAGGUGAAGAAGAAGAUGAUGGAGGGAAGCUCUCCACUUGCUUCACCUUCUUUUCCUUUUCUUCUUCUUCUUUCUCUUCUUCUUCUUCUCUUCUCCUUUCCUUUCUAGAGAGAGAGAGAGGAGGCUUGGGGGAUGAUACGGUGAGGGAGAGGGAGAGAGAGAGGUUCUAAUCCUCUCUAUACAUAUAACUCAUGCAUAAAAUGCCAACAAGUCCCUCAACAAUCCUCUUCUUGCAUCAGCCCAAACUGGGCAUUUUCGGGGUUCUGAGACCGGUCCUUGCGGUGAGAGACCGGUCCCCGAAAGGCCAGAAUUCCAGACUUAGCCAAUUUUUCAGCAUUUUCAGCCUUUAUCCUUUUUCACUCCGUUUUCGCUCGUUUUCGCUCGUUUGACCUCCGUUUCUUUUCAAAUCGAACCGAGACUCUCCAAACAUGUUUUCAAGCAUGUUUUCAUCAUCUUUUCAUCCACGCUAAUGCCGGAUUUAGUCCAUGGUCCAUCAUAGCCUUUCGGGUCCCGUUUUCGCGCCCUAUGCGCACCGAAGCACCCGAAUGCUCCCGAACUUCGCCGGAACGAUUCUAAUGGCUUUCUAAGCUAACAUACAUCGUAACUUCAUGAAUUAGAAGUUCGGUAUAUUACAUUCUCCACCCCUUAAAAAGAGUUUCGUCCGCGAAACUCAAACCACACCUCAAUUCAGCUCCUCGAGCAAUUGAGGGCACUAAUGCACUUUUACACUUCGGAAGGCUUUACACUCUUUGGAACUAUCCAAGAGGACUACUACGGAGCUCAUGAUACAAAACGCAUCCAACUUUGUAAGGCACAUCUCACAAAGUGCAUUACGGUCUCCGUCACUCUAUGUGGUAGCGCAAGUCGAAACUCGACGACUCUACGCGCUCCAACUCCACUUGCCACUUGACAAGCAAGAACUCUUCUUUGCAUUUACUUCCCCUUCAGGGAAUGCAUUUCAAAUCAAUCACCGACAUUGCCUAAAAGCAAUAUCAUCGGUGCAUCGCUUUAUCGUGAGUGCUCUAACUCCGCACCGACUUUUGCUCUAAUGUGAGAUGGCCCACUUCAGCACAUCCCCACUUCCAAUCCUCAAAUUCCACGUGGCUUGCCAUAAGCUCAAGGUCUCUCCAAGAGCACUUCAUCACCUGAUACCAUAUGCCACGGUCAACACCACAUCACCUUCGCAACAACUCACACGAACACUUCGUUCGUGAAUUCAAGUCAAACUCCUCGAUAAGGCUAUCUGCCAAAUCGCUUUCCUCGGUCUUCAUUGGUGGUCCAAAGGCCACCAAUACUACGUAGGCCCACAGCCUAAACCUGUCUCAAUAUACGCGCAGCGCCUCUCGCUCGCAAGCGUAGACCCAAUCAUCACUGGGGCGAAAUUCUCACUUGGGAAUUCACACACACUCCAACCAGGAGCAACUAAAAUCCCAAACCAUUACAAAUCCUUUGGUUGGGUCACAAUCGUACUCUCGGUAUUCUCUCAAUCGCAUUACACGCUCUAUCGAGCAAUGCGUGUCACUACCGGCUCCUAUGCACCUAGUGCGAGCCACUAGCCCCACGAGUGAUUCAUGGCACACUUCACACUGGGCAAUGCCCAAGUGCUAUUGCAAACAAACUCACUCGGCAGAUCCAUAUUCGCACUCCACGAGUACCUAUACUCGAGCGUUGUACGCUACUAUAGCGUGCUACAAUAAGCCUGGGUUUUGGGCAAUCUUGCCCGAGCACAAUGCAACCGGUCUCACCCAGAGGGACCGGUCUCUCGGGGAUCGGUCUCUCCCGCAGGGACCGGUUCCCGAGAGCCUGUUUUCUUGAACUUAGCCAAUUUUUCUCCUUUGCUGGGCUUCUCACGCGUUCGGGGACCGAUCUCUCCAGCAGGGACCGGUCCCCGAGAGCCCAAAAACUACAGUUUGCAGAUUUUGAUUCUUAAGCUCUCAAAAACCUCCCACAAUGCACUUUUACUCAUUCUAACGCCUUCGGUCUUUCCGAAGCAUAGCAACCUCGCACUUCGAUCAAUUUGACUAAAGUUCGACAUUUACUUUCCGAAUUCUUCGGCAUAUCACAUUCUUGGUCCUUACUAUACUACUACAUAAAUAGUAGUAAUUAACUAUAUACUCAAUGCAUGUGACGCUCCAACUUUACAUCAUGCCGAAACACAUAACUGCAUGAAUAACUCAUACCUGCCACGACGUCGUCAGCAGCAGGUCCCACAAGCUGGGUCGCGUGUCCAUAGCCACUUGGCGCCCGCCGCGGACCCCUCGGUUGCAUCACUGUCAUCGCUCGCUCUCCCGACCGUGCCGCAGGUGGCACACCCGCCGGCUGUCCCGGAGAGGAAAAAGCCGUCGCCAACACUAAGGCCCGGCUAUCACCUUGCGGACACUCAUCCCGCAUAUGGCCUGGCUGCCCACAACGGAUACAUCUUCCAUCACGCAGCGCACACCGCCGCGCCUGGUGGGUACCACCACAAAUCACACAACCUGGGGAGGAUCGAGUAGAGGACGUCUUCGAGUGGCGCCUAGAACUUGACUGCCCACCCGAACUGUUCGACAAUUGCCUCACCCCUCCCCGCUCAUGCUUAUGAGAUUCGCGCUCCUCAUGCACGAAAGCCUCGCCAUGCUCUGCCCACAAUGCUCGGUCCAACACCUCCGCGAAGGUUGUGAGCUUGAGGAUUUGCACCUUCUCGUAAAUAUCUGGUCGAAGUCCACGUAAGAACCAAUCGGCCAUAUCCUUGUCAUCCCGUACCACAUCCGGGACACAAUUCACGAUACGGGAAAACUCCCGUUCGUACUCCCGCACUGAGCGGUCUCCUUGACGCAGCUUCCUGAACCUGUCCUGAAGCUUUCGCUUUUCACUGUCGGGGAAGUAAGCUGAGAAUACCAAUCCCCGAAACUCAUCCCAUGCCAUAGGAGGAAGACUAGGCGAUCGGUUCCGCCGAAUGCCUUUCCACCACACCUUCGCCGAUUGCUUCAAGCAAUGCACGGCUAGGGGUACCUUGUCCCGCUCCAAUGUGUACAGCUCCUCAAAGAGCGUUUCCAUGGAGUCAAUCCACAUAUCCACAAUCCAGGGAUCAACAUUCUCUCCAUCGAAGGUAGGCGGAUCAAACUUUACGAAGGUCAUGAGGGCCGCCAAAGCCCGCUCUUUCUCCGCCUCCGCCAAUGCACUUUCGGGAGUCGGAUCGCCCGACCCCGACGGAACCAUCUCUGCUGCAAGCCCUGCCCGUCCUCGACGAGCCGCAACUGGCGCAGCCACUAGCUGCUCCACGGUCUCUUGGAGUCUCUUGAUCCGUUCUUCCUGGCGCAUAGCAGCCUCCUGCUGACGCUGCACUACGCCCACAAGCAUUCCCAACUGUUCGCGGAGCUCCGAGUCUCCUCUCGCUCCGGAUUGCUCAGGAACAUCACUUGUCCCAUCCCGCGUCGAUCUAGCCGAAGAUCGCCUACGCGGUGCCAUCGUUCCCUGACACAUGACAACUCGAUUAAUUCUCAACCUUCGAGGUCGAGUACAAAACAUUUAACAUUGACUCAAAUCGGGCGAAAGUUAUACAAGGGCGUCUAUUCUCAUCACUCGGUUUCAUGUUGUCGUACGCCCAACAUGAACACACUCGGUUGAGAAUAAACCACACCUUGAAUCUACCUCUAACAUCCAUUAUAGAGGUUUACCACAUAACCCAAUCAUUAACCUUUCGCCACAAGUCUCCAGUCCUCGUCUCUCACGAGCCUUAAUCUCCUAUGGUUUACUAUCCUAGGGUCUCCUAGGUCAAGCUAAACCAUUUUCUUUAAACUCUUUUAUGUUCUUUUUAUGUUCUCUCUAUGUUCUCUUUAUGUUCUUUUUAUGCUCUGAUACCAUCUUAUCUGUCACGCCCCGAGCCCGCCUCUUUGGUCGGAUUCGGGCACGCCAACAGACCGCCGAACGGACAGGGUUUCCCCUGUACCGCGGACAGAGUCUCCCCUGUACGUUCAAGGCGUCGCAAUCAAUACAAUGUACGAAGUUCCAACCAGGAACACAUUUCAAGCAAAGAUUGCAUAAGGAAGUAUCAAAAACAUAAAUCUACUUGCUAUUACAAGCAUUCACAUUCAUACAUUUUUACAUCACAAUUCUCAUUUGAUUCUUACAUUAGCUUUCACUUAACUUCCAAAUACAAUCCGAUUUUAACAUAGUUAUUACAACAUUGUUCUUACAAUUAUCACAUUUUUGGUUCUUUGCAUUUUAUACCCCUAAGAAGCCGACUCAGGGUGCUGCUAUCUGGUCUCAGUGGUAGGGCGCUAACUACGGAGCUACGCCCUUUCCUCGCGCCGCCGCGCCGCUCGCGUGUGAACCUGUAAAACCCCGAAACAACGUGGGGUGAGAACUAACUCCAUAGUUCCCAGUGGGUACGGCCACCCAAGGGAAGAGCUCGACCAUCAGGUCAAAGGAGGCAAACAACAUGUUAGUCCAAUAGAUAGAUAUGAAAUCAUAAAUCAUGCAACUAACAUUACCAUGCUUUUGCCUCACAACAUGCAAUAUGCAAAUUAUGCAACUCAUAUAGUAGAUUAAUUGCUUCUACACUUUAUUCUUAUCCAUUCUUUACUUUUACUCAUUCUUUACUUUACUAGCUAUUCUUUAGCAUUAACCCUUCUUUAUUCUUUAUUACUUGUCAUUCUUUAGCAUUAGCCUUUUCUUAUUCUUGAUUCUUCAUUCUUUAUUCUUUACGCUUUACUAAGGGUACUCACACCUUAGUAAUAUUAUACACAUUAGCCUUUCUUUCCUAAGGUUACUUUACCUUAGCCAACUUUGCCAUCCGACUCGGUCUUGAGUCAAUCAACUGCGGAUAGUCCGCGCUCUGUCCGGCUCGAGGUGAAGGAACUCACACAUGCACCUCAGCCCUCAAUCACAAACCACAUCGCCCAACGGGUCGCCCAGAGCUGCGUACACCCGUGGUCAGGGAUCCCCCGGUGGGAGAGGAACAUGCCGCAUACACCCGCAGCCGAGAUCCCCGAUAGGGAGAGGAACAUGCCACAUGCACCCUAGCGCUCAUUGUUCUUGCUCAUUAACAAGCCUCGAAGUUCUUCCGGUGGGAGAGGAACACGCCACAUGCACCCGCGGCCAAGAACUAUCGAGCUUGUAUGCUGCACUAGCAGCCGCUGCACUAGCAGCAGGGAUUCCGGAAUCCACUUCACAUUACUCGAGGGUUGGUCUCACCCUAUAAUAUUGACCUAUCUAGGUCCAAGCCUUUGCUCAACCUAAGUUCAUACUUUAGGUUCAAUGUCAUUAUCUUCUUAGCCUAGGUUCAUUGACACUAGGUUCAACAUUCUUAAUCACCUAGGUUCAUUCGACUCUAGGUUCCAUAUCAUUACGUUCACAACCUAGGUUUACUUGACUCUAGGUUCAAUGCCAUUCAUAUUCUUAUUUUCCUAGUUGUCCACACCUAGGAAUUAUACUUGACAUGCCACUCGUGAAUAACCUAUGUUCAUCGACACUAGGUUCAUUAUUACUUUUGUUUAACCUAUGUCCUUGACACUAGGUUCAAUGCCACUCGAUCUAUAGGUGCAUUUAUGUCAACUUACACACAUCCUUUACUUAGCAUUCUUAUCUUAUCAUUAUGCAUGCUUUCUACUUUAUGUCAUUUUAACAUAUUCUCACAAUAUGGAUCAUACAUUUAGCUCAUAUGUUUACUUAACAUACAUCUCAACAUGCCUUUAACAUUUUACUCAUGCUUCAUCAAACAUUUCUAUAACAUGUCACAAGCAUUAGCUUAGUGUUCUUACAUUAUGUCAAUAUGCAUACUUUUAGCAUUUCCUAUUAUGACAACAUGCAUUUCUCAACAUACAUCUUAUAUGAUCAUUACUUGGCACAUAUUACAUGCAUUACUUAACAUCUAUCACAUGCAUUCAUUCCUUAGCAUCUUUAUCAUGGCAUUGUAUACAUUUAUUAGCAUCAUUAUGGUGCAUUCUUACUUAACAUUCUUAUUAUGCAUUCUUACUUAACAUUCUUAUCAUGCAUCAAUAGUGAAACACACUACACUUUGGCAUGAAGGCGACCUAGUCGCUUCGGUAAACACAACCCACCUUUUAACGCUUUCCGAUUGCUUGUCGUCACUUGCAAUCGGCCUCCCGCGGCACCCGUGACCCGGUUUGGCCCAAACUCUUGCGCGACCACCCGAACGGCCACCAAUCCGCGAUCCGUCUGUUCGGGAGUUUAUUCCCCGACACCACGAUGCUCCCGAUCCAUUUUCAUGAUUUUUGGAGGCUUAUCCCGCGUGCUGCGGCUAUCUGUACCAAAACAGAUUGUUUCGUCAAUAACUUCGCGUACGCUCGUCGGAUUGUCGAACCGAGCGCACCAACGCGUUCGUUAUACCCCCAAUUAGGUUUGUAUAGGGUCAAUUGAGAUCAAAACCCCUCACAAGCAAAAGCCCUCUUUUUGGAGCCCUAGAUGCAAUUAUAGCAAAAUACUCCAAUUCAUCUCAUGAAUCAAGCAUAAACCAUCUAUUUAGCAUCAAUGGGUUCCACUAAAUCCAUUCUUAGAGCAUAUAACCAUAGCCAUGAAGAUCUACCAUUAGAGCUUCAAGAAGCUUACCUCAUCUAAGCUUCAAACUCAAGGAAGAAGAUGAAGAGGAUGAAGCUCCAUCUCCUUGUCUCCUUCUCCACCAAUCUCUCCUCCUUUUGAUCCACUUCUAGAGAGAGGGAGAGAGCAUUCUAGAGAGAGGGAGGAGUUCCUCUCUCAAACAUUAUGUGUGUGUGUGUAGUGUAAAAGAGGGAAGAAGAAAGAGCCCCAUACAUUAGCCAACUUCCCCCAAUUUACAACAUUGCCAUCAGCCCAAACUGGGCAUUUUCGGGGUUCUGGGACCGGUCCUUGCGGUGAGAGACCGGUCCCCGAAAGGCCAGAAUUCCAGACUUAGCCAAUUUUUCAGCAUUUUCAGCUUUUAUCCUUUUUCACUCCGUUUUCGCUCGUUUUCGCUCGUUUGACCUCCGUUUCUUUUCAAAUCGAACGGAGACUCUCCAAACAUGUUUUCAAGCAUGUUUUCAUCAUCUUUUCAUCCACGCUAAUGCCGGAUUUAGUCCAUGGUCCAUCAUAGCCUUUCGGGUUCCGUUUUCGCGCCCUAUGCGCACCGAAGCACCCGAAUGCUCCCGAACUUCGCCGGAACGAUUCUAAUGGCUUUCUAAGCUAACAUACAUCGUAACUUCAUGAAUCAGAAGUUCGGUAUAUUACAGUGUGCUAUUCUUUGACAUUAGCCGUUCUUUAUUCUUUAGUCUUUACUCUUUAUUCUUUAUUCUUUAUUCUUUAUUCUUUACUAAGGGUGUCACGCCCCACCCCGAAAUCACUACCAAUUUGGCACAGUUCAGCUGCGGCGGCGGACCGCCGAACGGACAGCACCUCCCCCGUCCGCCCAAGGCUCCACGACAAGAAUGUGUACAAGAAUUUACCCAGAAAAUUAAAUUCUAAACAUACACACUCACAAGGGCACAAAUAGUGCCGACAAUACAAAGAGCAAGUAAUCCAUAAGACAAACAUGUGAAAUAAAGAGAGUAUUUUACUAACUAUUACAUUAGUUUCAUCGCUUUCAUUUAUAUCAUUUUCGUCCAAAAUGAAUACAAUUCUUUCAUCUCAAAAUACAUAGCUCUCAAAAUCCUCACCUACAAUAAAACUCUCAAAUACAUAGGUGUGCUAAUGCAAAAAGGAAAGCUACUAUACUACCACGGUCUCACUGAUCGGGCGCGAUGCCCUUGCCGCGGUCCUCCAUCGGCAACCCUGUACCUACCACUGGNNNNNNNNNNNNNNNNNNNNNNNNNNNNNNNNNNNNNNNNNNNNNNNNNNNNNNNNNNNNNNNNNNNNNNNNNNNNNNNNNNNNNNNNNNNNNNNNNNNNAGGGAAUGAGAGAGGAAGGCUCUCUCAGCCCCAACAUAACCCUUGGGUUGCAAAAUUGCUAAUAAACCCCUCAACUUUCACCUUAAUGCACUGCCCGAACUGGGCAGUUCGCGCAGGCAGAGACCGGUCUCCCCGAGCAGGGACCGGUUCCCGAACGUCCACCCUGCGCAGCCAGAGUCGCUGCGCGCGAUGCGACCAGUCUCUCUCUGAUGGGACCGGUCUCUGGGGGACCAGUCUCUCAGGCAGAGACCGGUUCCCGAGAGCUAAUCUUCCAGGACUUAGCCGAUUUUUCGGCUGUCUCAUUUCAUACGCGUUCGGGGACCGGUCUCUCCCACUAGGGACCGGUCCCCGAGAGCUCAAAAUCUGCAGUUUUGCAAAUUUGAUUCUAUAGCUCUCGAAAACCUCCCGUAACUCACUUUUACUCAUUUUAACUCCUUCGGGCUUUCCGAAGUGUACCGUCCUCGCACUUUGGUCAAUUUGAUCAAAGUUCGACAUUUUUAUCUUUCGAAUUUUCGGUAUAUUACAGACGAGCGUCACGAAGAUACGGAGCUUUCUUGGAUUGGCCGGUUACUACCGGAGAUUUGUCGAGGGGUUUGCUAAGCUGUCUACUCCCCUCACGAGGCUCAUGCACAGAGGCAUCAAUUUCAUUUGGAAUAAUGCGUGUGAAAGGAGCUUCCAAGAGUUGAAGCUUCACUUAACGGAUUGGGUUGUGUUUUGAUGCAGAAUGGCAAGGUGAUCGCGUAUGCUUCUCGCCAAUUAAAGGAAUAUAAAGGGAAUUAUCCUACGCAUGAUUUGGAGUUGGCAGCCGUAGUCUUUGCGUUGAAGCUAUGGCGCCACUACCUUUAUGGCGAGCGGUGUAAAGUGUACACGGAUCACAAGAGCUUGAAGUAUUUAUUCACUCAGAAUGAGUUGAACUUGAGGCAGCGCAGAUGGUUGGAGCUGCUUAAAGAUUAUGAUCUGACGAUUCUCUACCACCCGGGUAAGGCUAAUGUGGUGGCGGAUGCGCUAAGUAGGAAAUCGACGGAAAACUUAGCGAUGCAUGUUGUUACUCAACCGCAGUUGAUCGAGCAGAUGAAGCGAUUGGAGUUGGAGGUGGUGACUCCAAACACACCUUUAAGGUUGAUGACCUUGGUAGUGCAACCUACACUAUUAGAUAGAAUUAAAGAAAAGCAAGCUUCUGAUGUGGAGCUGCACAAGAUUCGAGAGAAAAUGGUUAAAGGUACCGGCGACUUCCUUGUGGAUGAUCAAGGAAUGAUGCGUUUUCGUGGGCGGAUUUGUGUACCGGCGGAUUCGAGAAUCAAAGAGGACAUUCGUCGAGAAGCACACCAGGCACCGUAUGCUAUACAUCCGGGAGGCACCAAGAUAUAUAAGGACUUAAAGUUGCUCUAUUGGUGACUCGGGAUGAAAAAGACGUUGGUGAGUUUGUUACUAGAUGUUUAACUUGCCAACAAGUAAAGGCUGAGCACCGUUUAUCCACGGGGAAACUUCAGAGUUUGCCUAUUCCCGUGUGGAUGUGGGAGAAGAUCACCAUGGACUUCGUGACUGGAUUGCCUCGCUCUCAGGCCGGCAUGAUGCUAUUUGGGUGAUCGUGGAUAAGUUGUCGAAGUCGGCGCACUUCAUACCUAUUCAUACGACUUGGUCUGGGGAGAAGCUCGCACAAGUAUACCUUGAUGAGAUUGUGCGACUUCACGGAGUGCCUACUUCGAUUGUAUCUGAUCGAGACACUCGGUUUGUGUCUCACUUUUGGAGGAGCCUGCAGGGCGCCUUAGGCACCCGAUUAAAUUUCAGAACUGCUUUCCACCCUCAGAGUGAUGAGCAGUCGGAGCGCACUAUUCAGACCUUAGAGAAUAUGCUCCGGGCAUGUGUGAUUGACUUCGAGAGAGGAUGGUCGCAGCAUCUACCGAUGGCGGAGUUUGCUUAUAACAAUAGUUAUCAAGCAAGCAUCAAGAUGGCGCCAUUCGAAGAACUUUAUGGACGGAAGUAUAGAUCGCCACUUCAUUGGAGUGAAGUUGGCGAGAGAUUGGUUUUAGGCCCUGACGUCCUCCAGGAAGCUGAAGACAAGGUUCGAAUUGCUCGGGAGCGACUUUUGACGGCGCAGAGUAAACAGAGGAGCUACGCCGAUUGACAACGGCGAGACUUCGAGUUCUAAGUUGGAGACCAUGUAUUCUUGAAGGUCUCGCCGACUAGAGGGAUCAGGAGAUUCGGAAUUCGGGGUAAGUUGAGCCCCCGUUUCAUUGGACCGUAUGAGAUCUUAGAGCGGGUAGGUCCGGUAGCGUAUCGACUUGCUCUACCACCGAACCUAUCGGGCGUGCACAACGUCUUUCAUUUAUCGGUCCUUCGAAAGUACGUCUUCAACCCGACUCAUGUGUUGUAUGCUACACCUGUGGAGUUGCGGGAUGAUCUGAGCUUCGAGGAGCUACCAAUGAGGAUCUUGGCUCGCGAGGUGCGGAAACUGCGGAAUCGGGAUAUUCCGUAUGUGAAGGUUCUUUGGAGCAACCACGGAGAGUGGGAGGCCACGUGGGAGCUGGAGAGCGCUUUGCAGGAGCGCUAUCCCCAUCUUUUUCGGAUGGAGCUUUGAGGUUUGUUGUUGCUUUUGAGUUUUAAGGAUGAAACUCCUUUUUAGGAGGGGUGAAUAUAACACACUGGACCUAUGCAAAUUGCGAGGUUCGAGUGUUUGUUUUGGGUUCCGAGCUUUUCCACACUUUGUGGAGGGUUGUAGACAGUGUUCCGACCCGUAGUUCGAAAUUCUAGAUUUUUGGCUAAGUCCUGAGAGUUUUACUCUCGGGGACCGAUCCCUGCCAGGGGAAAUUCUGGAUAUAGUUGAGGGGCUUUUCUGGAUUUUGUUACUUGUGUGGCCAGGAGGGCCACUUCCAGUCAGACUGCCCGAGGGGUCCAGCGUCAGCCCCCUCAUCGGCAUCAGCACUAGCUUCACCGGGUCCCAGCCAGGGGACGCCUUCUGCUCACUAUCAGGUCGGGAGGCCACCUGUCCAGAGAUAGAUGGAGGGGUCACGACAGGCCCCGAAAGGGCACAUGUACGCGACCCAGACCGCGGAGGCGGCAGCAGCCGAGUUUGAGGCUACAGGUAUCAGUUUGUUUUGUGGCAUUUGAGUGGUACAUUGUUUGUUAUCGGUGCAUUGCAUCUGUUCUUUGAUCAGCUAUUUGCCGAGUUGCAUGGCAUUCCGUUAGCUCGCUGUUUGCGAUGUCGAGUAGCUUCUCUCGAGCUAGGCUGUUGAUUUGCGGGUUGCGGGUAGCAUGUUUUGCUAUGCUUUGUAGAUCUCACGAUGAUUGCAUUAUUUGCAUACCUUGAUUAGCUAUUCGCCGGAUGGUGCUUGGGAACGACCGUGCCUGGACCGUUUGUGGACUGUAGAGCCUGGGCCCUUUGGGCAGGCGUAGUCAGCUGUGUGUGACAGUGGCCCAGUACCUACGGGUAGGGCAGAGUUUGGUUAGGACAGUAGUCCGAGCUUAGACCGGGAGCGUGGAAUGCCACGUGUUGGAUCGUGAGAUCGAGGAUACACCGAGUGUGUAGUGACCCAAUGUAACACACUGGACCUGUGCAAAUUGCGAGGUUCAAGUGUUUGAUUUGGGUUCCGAGCUUUUCCACACUUUGUGGAGGGUCGUAGACGGUGUUCCACCCGUAGUUCGAAAUUCUAGAUUUUUGGCUAAGUCCUGAGAGUUUUACUCUCGGGGACCGGUCCCUGGUGGGAGAGACCGAUCCCCCGUCACGUGGUUGCGGCUGUCGGCCGAGGCAACCGGUCCCUCAGCCAGAGAGACCGGUUCCUGAACGUGUGUUUUGCGAGAGGGUCCGAGAGACCGGUCCCAGGUGCGGAGAGACCGGUCCCUCAGCCCGAAAACUGCCCAGACCUGAUAGUUUACUGUUUUGAUAGUUAAGGGGUUUUUCUAGAUUUUAUUACAUUAGAGGGCCUAUAUGGCAUUUCCUCUCCCUCUCUCCCUCAUUUCUCUCCCUCACACUCUCUCUUGCACUCUAGAAAGAGAAGAAGAAGGAGAAGGAAGAAGGAGGAGAGGAAGGAGAGCAAGCUUGGAGGAGCUUUGGACAUCUUCCCCUCCCUCUUUUCUCACCAUUGGAGGCUUAGAACUUGUUGUUGGAGCUUUGUGGAGGAAGGACCUUCAACCCUAGAGCACUUUGAGCUUGGUUUGGAGCUUCUCUUGAGGUUGGUAGCAUGUAUUCCUCAUUUGGUGCAUGUUUUUCUAGAUUUUGCUAGAUGAAACCCUAGAUUUGGAUUUUAGGGUUAGAUUUGGGAAUUUUUGUUUGGGGGGGCUUUGGAACCUAAUUGAUGGGUUUAGAACUUUUGUUUAGGUGGGAUUGGAAGGACUCUAACUCCCUUUUGGAGAUCGAGAGAGUUUCCUUCGCAUUCGGUGAAUUUUUGCCCUAUUCUUGAGUUAGUUUUUGAUCGACCCCAUAGUUGUUCGUUUGCUUCUUUGGUCUCACUUUUUGAUGCUUCUAGGAUACUAGAAGGCUUGUAGACACCUUCGUCGGAGCAAACGAAGGGUUUGGAGAAGUCCGGUGGGUUUUUGACUUCAUGAAAUCGGGGCAAAAUGGUCCCUAUGUAUAUUAUACUUGUCGUAACGUCAAUUUGAUUGCGUAUUCAUGCUAAAUGGGAUUUAUGUAAAUUUUAGAACACUUAAAAUGCAUGCGUUAUAUAUUAUGAAAAUUUCACUCUAUAUAGUAGAGCUAUAUGUGUAGGCUGCAUGCAUGUGGAAUUGUUGAUCUAUGCGAGUUGAUUACAUGUCUCGUGCAAGGAAAAUGAUUAGAAUUAUGUAUUCAUGAACAUAAUUAUCAUGCUUUGACUUAGUAAACAAAAUGCUAUAAAGGGGCACCUGAACUAGUAAACUAUGAAACUGCAACAUAGAGACAGUGAUAGGCCAUUGAUAUCUACUAUAUUCCAUAUUUUAGACAUGAUGACAUAGAGAUAGGCCCUUGUGACAUUCGAUAUACAUAUUCCAUAUUUUUAGACAUGAGGACUCGGUACUUGAGACGGAUCUUAUGCUUGUUGCCAUUGUGCUCAUUCGCACAUGCUUGUGAGGGUCGCUCCUUACAAGCCGACACUCCGGAGAUGGCCAUCGCGAUACAUAUUCGCCGUGCAGGAUUGGGCGCCGAAGUGGAUUGUCAUCGGCAAGGCUCAUUCCUAGAGUGGGGAUGUUGACCACCACGGGGCCAUUAGGCUCGACACGGGCCAGACAGCCUACGGGUGUGUCUACAGGCCAGACAGCCUUCG